CUAAUUAUAAUAUUUAUUUUAUAACACUUUACUAAUAUUUAGAAGCAGCAGUUUGAGAGUACGAACACUGUAUCAUAAAAUAGUACCAAAGGCAACAUGUGCACUAAAUUUUAGCCCUCUUUAGACCAAUUUCAUUGGCUAUUCAACACAUGUAGGACACUUAAUAUCCACGUAAAGCACAUCAUUUGGCUCUAAGUUGUCUUCAAAAGUGGAAUAAGACAUAGUUUCUCUUCAAUUUCUUUCUUCUCAGCCUUGACUCUCCAUCUCUUUAUUCUUUAAAGAUUUCAAUUGAACGCGAAGAGAUUAAUUGAUUGGGGCAACGGCGAGUUCUCCUAUUAUGGAUAAGAAAAAGGGGGACAUGUGGUAUUUUGAAACGCUCAGAGUGUGAUUCUGGGUUGUGUUUGAAUGAAGGUAUUGCUCUACAUUGUGAAUGAUUUAGGAGUGGGUAGAGACAGAUUUUUCAUUUAAUUUAUGAGUGUCCUUGAAUGAAUUAUACUUAAAAUGUGGGAAUUUCAACUCAGCGUGUGAUGUGUUUGAUGAUAUCCCUCAGCCACCUUAGUUGAAGUUUCCUGUUGUGAUUUUCCUUUUCGGGCUACAUGUUCAUGGUACCUUUACUAUGAAAGGACCUGAAAAUAAAUAUUUCUGUAAGUAUACAAUAUUGUGUUAUUUCGAUGUGGCAAGUAAUCUUUGAAUCGUUGCAAGAAACUGGUUGAAUCCAUGGCGCCUUUCUUACUAGGUAUCAACAACUUUUUCCAUUUAUUUUAGUGAGCUUUUUCUUGGUUGUCUGCUUUUGGGAUAGUUUCCACGAUUGAAAUAUAAAGAAAGAGACAAAAUCAAAUAUGCAUAAAUCAGAUCAUAUAAAAACACCCUCGUAGAAAAUAAAUUACCCACAAAUAUUGAACUAUGCUGAAGAAUAUAGCAGCAAAGCAAAUACGACUUUAGAUGCAGACUGAAUAUUCUAAAUGAGUCAUCAUUAAAAUAUAAUAAUAAAAAAUUACAUCGACCCAAGCAGAUUAUUUGUCUGACCUUUUGUUUGUCAUUGUGUCUAUCUGCAGUCAAUUAUUAGUCUUUUUUGGUCGUCUGUUGAUUAAAUUUGUGCUUGCAUGUUAAUCAUUUCUCCUAAUUUUGCAAUCGUCCUUUUAUUCUCAAAAAAUUUAUUUUUUUACCAGAAUAUCAUAGCACUAAAAGGCAACAUCAAUCAAAUAAUAACUGACACACCAAAUUGGAUAUGCAUGGUCCAAAUUAUCAUAGGUCAAGAACGAGAGAGUCCUGAGAAAAAAGUUAGAUUUCAAAAUUUGAUUUUCGAGGAUGAAGAAGUAAUUAUGUCUACAGUAGCAUCAUAAAUUCAACUUUCUACAAUUAUAAUCUACUGCAUUUAUAACAAAAGUUGACACUUUACAGGAGCAACAAAUUCGGAAAAUUGUGUAUGGCGAUGUCAUUCCAUAUUAUGCUGACAAGCUUAACUCUUCCAGCCAUAUCUAAUAUCUGCUACAAAAGUUAAAGUUACAUCAACUUUAUACGGUCCACCAAUAUGCAAACUUUAUUGGGUGCUUGAUCGCGAGACUAUAGUGGAACAUAUAGAGCCAAAUAAUGAGAGUGAGAAAGCACUACUACCACCAACGAAGUUGAAUAUCACUUCUUUCAACCACAUUGCUCAUACGACUCCACAUACUGCUACAGAAAUUGGUUAUUUACUGUUACCUUGAUGAAAUAUUUGGCUUCUAUGGAAUAAAUAUAUACCCCUCAUUAUAUUUC
Molecule: long non-coding RNA, 1755 nt
Organism: Nicotiana attenuata
Lineage: Eukaryota; Viridiplantae; Streptophyta; Magnoliopsida; Solanales; Solanaceae
Exons: 2
Source: RefSeq, a predicted model, not a curated record